CGUGUUCUGCAUUGAGCGUUGUGUGUGUGUGAUCAGUCUGUUGUUGUUGUUGUUCAGGUGCGGGCGGAUCACGCGAGGAUCAUGUCGUCGUAUCCCUCCACAGCUUCUGCUCCAGUUUACCCGACACAUGGAUACUCUGCAAAUAACAGCUUCGGCAGUCAGUCGUGGUACAGCUACCCGAGCUCCUAUCCCACGUACCCUGGUGCCUUCUGGAACAACUCCAGCGGAGCGACCGGCCAAUCACAGCUCCACAGCGGCGCGGUGCAGUAUCCGAUGUGCAAACAGAGUGGCUUCCUGCUGCGGGAUGAGGAUGCAGCGUCAGACGGAGCAGACGUUGGCUCCAGUCCAAAGCAACACUCUGCAGAAGAGGAGCAGAAAGCACAGAUCUCCACAGAUGUUUUGGAGAAGGACGUCAGUGCAGCAGACGACAGCAGGACAUUGAUGCCGCCGCCAACAGCUCCAAUCAGAAAGAGACCGAGAGAAGAGACCUGCAACAAACCCCUCACACACACAGCUGAAGAACAGCUGAUGAUGAUGAAGAAGAUGAAGAUUCCAGAAGAUUCCAGCAGCUCCUCUGGACUCGUUCCGUACGGAGGAGAUUCAUCAGAUGAGGAGGAGGAGCGCAUGCGCAGCGGGAAUAAGAGCUAAGGACCUAACGCAUGCCUGCGCAGCAUCACAGACUUUUUAUUUUAAGUUUUAUUUUACACAGGACUGAUGUGCAACUGUUCCUAUGGAAUAAAAGAAAUAAACACCACACCGAUGCUGCCGUCUUGUUUAUUCAGCUCUAGAAUCAGCCCAGAUCUUUAG
Molecule: long non-coding RNA, 807 nt
Filed under: Sinocyclocheilus anshuiensis
Lineage: Eukaryota; Metazoa; Chordata; Actinopteri; Cypriniformes; Cyprinidae
Description: lncRNA (ENSSANG00000046269.1)
Source: RNAcentral